GGGGGCGAAAUAGGAUAGACAAGGGUGUAAAGGUUGAAAGUUCGCUCGGCAUUGUACCACCGUUAUCGGACUAAAAAUGUAGUUGCAAAUGACAACUUCGCUGGAGAAACUCGCCUGGCCGCUUAGGCAAUGCGAUUUCUCACUUUAAGCCCUGAUGGGUUGCACCAUCAGGCGGGGUUUGGAGGCACCUGGCAACAGAAGCCUCCUUU
Molecule: transfer-messenger RNA, 209 nt
Filed under: Candidatus Liberibacter solanacearum CLso-ZC1
Lineage: Bacteria; Pseudomonadati; Pseudomonadota; Alphaproteobacteria; Hyphomicrobiales; Rhizobiaceae
Description: transfer-messenger RNA Liber_solan_CLsoZC
Rfam family: Alphaproteobacteria transfer-messenger RNA
About the family: Bacterial tmRNA, also known as 10Sa RNA or SsrA, is named for its dual tRNA and mRNA-like properties.
Source: RNAcentral